RNA transcript from Trichosurus vulpecula (common brushtail), 2209 nucleotides. It is a transcript of the gene named WD repeat domain 20, with no coding region annotated. Lineage: Eukaryota; Metazoa; Chordata; Mammalia; Diprotodontia; Phalangeridae. The transcript has 5 exons. The record is from RefSeq and is a predicted model, not a curated record.
ACGCUGCUUUCCAAGAUGGCGACGGAGGGAGGAGGGAAGGAGAUGAACGAGAUUAAGACCCAGUUCACCACCCGGGAAGGUCUUUACAAGCUGCUGCCGCAUUCGGAAUACAGUCGGCCCAACCGGGUGCCCUUCAACUCGCAGGGGUCCAACCCCGUGCGCGUCUCCUUCGUCAACCUUAACGACCAGUCUGGCAACGGCGACCGCCUCUGCUUCAAUGUGGGCCGGGAGCUGUACUUCUACAUCUACAAGGGGGUCCGCAAGGCUGCUGACUUGAGUAAACCGAUAGAUAAAAGGAUAUACAAAGGAACACAGCCUACAUGUCAUGACUUCAACCACCUAACAGCCACAGCAGAAAGCGUCUCUCUACUGGUGGGCUUUUCUGCAGGCCAAGUCCAACUCAUAGAUCCAAUCAAAAAAGAAACUAGCAAACUAUUUAAUGAGGAAAGACUAAUAGACAAAUCCAGAGUAACCUGUGUAAAAUGGGUGCCAGGUUCGGAAAGCCUUUUCUUAGUAGCUCAUUCCAGUGGUAAUAUGUACUUAUAUAAUGUGGAACACACUUGUGGUACCACAGCUCCACACUACCAACUACUUAAGCAAGGAGAAAGCUUUGCAGUUCAUACUUGCAAGAGCAAGUCCACAAGAAACCCUCUCCUUAAGUGGACAGUGGGAGAAGGUGCCCUGAAUGAGUUUGCUUUUUCCCCAGAUGGGAAGUUCUUAGCAUGUGUGAGCCAAGAUGGUUUUCUCCGGGUAUUUAACUUUGAUUCAGUGGAGUUGCACGGUACAAUGAAAAGCUACUUUGGAGGACUACUAUGUGUUUGUUGGAGCCCAGAUGGAAAAUAUAUUGUAACAGGUGGAGAGGAUGACUUGGUGACAGUUUGGUCUUUUGUGGACUGUCGAGUAAUAGCUAGAGGCCAUGGACAUAAAUCAUGGGUCAGCGUUGUAGCAUUUGACCCAUAUACCACUAGUGUAGAAGAAAGUGACCCAAUGGAAUUUAGUGGCAGUGAUGAGGAUUUCCAAGACCUCCUUCAUUUUGGCAGAGAUCGAGCAAAUAGUACGCAAUCUAGGUUAUCAAAAAGGAACUCUACAGAUAGUCGCCCAGUAAGCGUUACAUAUAGGUUUGGCUCAGUAGGCCAAGAUACACAACUCUGUUUAUGGGACCUUACAGAAGACAUUCUUUUUCCCCACCAACCCCUCUCCAGAGCAAGGACACAUACAAAUGUCAUGAAUGCCACAAGUCCACCUGCAGGAAGUGGUGGAACCAACCCAGGAAGCAAUGGAAACAGCAUCACAAUGCCUGGAAAUUCCGUGCCCCCGCCUCUUCCACGGUCCAACAGCCUUCCACACUCUGCAGUCUCAAAUGCCGGCAGUAAAAGCAGUGUCCUGGACGGUGCCAUUGCCUCUGGUGUCAGCAAAUUCGCAACUCUCUCACUACAUGACCGGAAAGAAAGACACCACGACAAAGAUCACAAGCGAAAUCAUAGUAUGGGACAUAUAUCUAGCAAGAGCAGUGACAAACUGAACCUAGUUACUAAAACCAAAACGGACCCAGCUAAAACUUUGGGAACUUCCCUGUGCCCCCGAAUGGAAGAUGUUCCCUUAUUAGAGCCUCUUAUCUGUAAAAAGAUAGCACAUGAAAGACUGACUGUGUUAAUUUUUCUUGAAGACUGUAUAGUCACUGCUUGUCAGGAGGGAUUUAUUUGCACAUGGGCAAGGCCUGGUAAAGUGUAGUGGUUCCUGGGUUCUUGGAUCUGAGAGGAAAAGAGCUCCUAUAGAUUCUGAAGAGGUGUCAAAUUCUACAUUCCAAUUGGUAUUUGCUUCCUGGUCUUGUCUAGAUUAAAGGAUCUAAGUUACAGGAACCUAACUUUAAGGGUUUAUUGUCAUCCCAAAACCAGGCCAAUUCUCCAAGUGGAACUGUAGUAUAGUCAUCCCACUACUUCGAACAAAACCCACCCCAGGACAAGGAAUAAUGACAAGGGCACCAAGAGCUGCUCUCUUCAGCCACAGAGCAUCGACAUUUCUAAAAUGGCCGAAUGUAAACCUGGAAUUCUGGGAAUCAUAGUGUGGUACAGAAGAGUAACAUCAUAGGUCCUUUUCCUGUGUUGUUUCCUUGGCUGCUUACCCAAAGAAUUUUCUGUUUUAAAGUAAUUCUUUUGGUAUUGCAGUUAAAAUGAGAAACUAAGUUUUCUUCUUUUUAAAGUUCAAUGUA